AUGGUUCUGGAGGCUAAAAAAUUAUCUCUGAAUGACUCUCCAGAUACAAUUUCCUGGGCACUUAAUAGUAAAGGGAAAUUUACUACUAAGUCGGUCUAUGAGUGGCUGGAGAGAAGCUUAUCUGGCCCUAACUAUAAAUGGGUGUGGAAAGCUACUAUCCCGCUCAAAAUUAAAAUUUUCUUAUAGCAACUAUUUCAAAAUGUUGUGCUUACGCGGGAUAACCUACGUAAUAGGAAGUGGCCUGGAAAUUCUGUGUGCUCUUUUUGUACAAGUGUGAAAACAGCGAAUAAUCUGUUCUUUGCUUGCCCGCUUGCUCGUACGGUUUGA
RNAcentral lists this ribosomal RNA (327 nucleotides) under Triticum aestivum (bread wheat). RNAcentral describes it as "partial small subunit ribosomal RNA". The record is from RNAcentral. Lineage: Eukaryota; Viridiplantae; Streptophyta; Magnoliopsida; Poales; Poaceae.